Molecule: long non-coding RNA, 309 nt
Organism: Saccostrea echinata
Lineage: Eukaryota; Metazoa; Mollusca; Bivalvia; Ostreida; Ostreidae
Exons: 3
Source: RefSeq, a predicted model, not a curated record
GUUUCAGGUUGAUUACAGAGAUAAGAAAUGUGGAAAAAUUUCAUGCAAUCACUUAUCCAAAUGUGUUCGCACAAAAUUAGGCAAAUAUGUCUGCAUCGAAGUAGCAGUUCAUGGAGGAUGGAGUGAAUGGAACCCUUGGGGAGUUUGUUCUGUUACAUGCGGAGGUGGGACUAGAGCACGAACACGCACCUGUGAUAAUCCUACGCCGAGAUUUGGAGGUCAACUCUGCAAUGGACAAUCCACAGAUUCUACAUACUGUAACACGCAUAAUUGUCCGGUGCAUGGAGGAUGGAGUACAUGGGACGCUUG